RNAcentral lists this ribosomal RNA (344 nucleotides) under Nannophya dalei. RNAcentral describes it as "eukaryotic LSU rRNA". It matches the Rfam family "Eukaryotic large subunit ribosomal RNA", at positions 1389 to 1675 of the family's 3401-position model. Lineage: Eukaryota; Metazoa; Arthropoda; Insecta; Odonata; Libellulidae. The record is from RNAcentral.
UCGCGGCGGUGCGCGCAGAAGGGUCUGGGCUCGAGCCUGCCUGGAGCCGCCGCCGGUGCAGAUCUUGGUGGUAGUAGCAAAUACUCCAGCGAGGCCCUGGAGGACUGAUGUGGAGAAGGGUUUCGUGUGAACAGCCGUUGCACACGAGUCAGUCGAUCCUAAGCCCUAGGAGAAAUCCGAUGCAAACGGCGAUGGGAAACGUUCGAUCGAAAGACAGAAGCCCACUGAUCGGGCGAAAGGGAAUCCGGUUCCUAUUCCGGAACCCGGCAGCGGAACCGUUGUUUGUCGGGCCCUCACAAGGGGUUCGUCAGGGCAACCUAAAAGGGCCCGGAAACCCCGUCGGG